Molecule: ribosomal RNA, 2566 nt
Filed under: Clostridioides difficile
Lineage: Bacteria; Bacillati; Bacillota; Clostridia; Peptostreptococcales; Peptostreptococcaceae
Description: bacterial LSU rRNA
Rfam family: Bacterial large subunit ribosomal RNA
Source: RNAcentral
AGCCCAAACCAAUAAAGUUUUCUUUAUUGGGGUUGCGGACAUAUCAUAACGAAGAGGUAUCGUAAUUGAAGAGGUUUGGAAAGACCCACCACAGAAGGUAAUAGUCCUGUAUGUUAAACGAGAAGACUUUAGAUAUGAUCCAGAGUACCACGGGACACGUGAAACCCUGUGGGAAGCAGGAGGGACCACCCUCCAAGGCUAAAUACUACCUAGUGACCGAUAGCGUAUAGUACCGUGAGGGAAAGGUGAAAAGAACCCCGGGAGGGGAGUGAAAUAGAACCUGAAACCCUGCACUUACAAGCUGUGGAAGCACAUUUCUUGUGUGACCGCGUACUUUUUGUAGAACGGGCCAACGAGUUACGUUAAGUAGCAAGGUUAAGCACUUAAGGUGCGGAGCCGUAGCGAAAGCGAGUUUUAACUGAGCGUUCAGUUACUUGACGUAGACCCGAAACCGGGCGACCUACCCAUGAGCAGGAUGAAGCGAAAGUAAAAUUUCGUGGAGGUCCGAACCCACGAGCGUUGAAAAGCUCGGGGAUGACUUGUGGGUAGCGGUGAAAUUCCAAUCGAGCCCGGAGAUAGCUGGUUCUCCCCGAAAUAGCUUUAGGGCUAGCCUCAAGGUGAGAGAUACGGAGGUAGAGCACUGAAUGUCCUAGGGGGUAUUGCACCUACCGAAGACUAUCAAACUCCGAAUGCCGUCAUCUUAUACUUGGGAGUCAGACUGUGGGUGAUAAGAUUCAUAGUCGAAAGGGCAACAGCCCAGAUCGUCAGCUAAGGUCCCUAAAUGUAAGUUAAGUGGUAAAGGAUGUGGGAUUGCACAGACAACCAGGAUGUUGGCUUAGAAGCAGCCACUCAUUCAAAGAGUGCGUAAUAGCUCACUGGUCGAGUGAUCCUGCGCCGAAGAUUUCCGGGGCUAAAACUUACUACCGAAGCUACGGCAUCAGUAAUGAUGGGUAGGGGAGCUUCCCAUACGGGUUGAAGCAUGACCGUAAGGACAUGUGGACAGUAUGGGAGUGAGAAUGUUGGCAUGAGUAGCGAGAUGUGGGUGAGAAUCCCACAGGCCGUAAACCCAAGGUUUCCAGGGGAAGGUUCGUCCGCCCUGGGUUAGUCGGGACCUAAGCUGAGGCCGAAAGGCGUAGGUGAUGGACAACAGGUUGAUAUUCCUGUACUACCGAUAACCGUUUGAGAGAAGGGAUGACACAGUAGGAUAAGCUAAGCACACUGUUGGUUAUGUGUGCCCAAGCAUUGAGGCAGUCAAAGUAGGCAAAUCCGCUUUGAUAAUGCUGGGAUGUGAUGGGGAGCGAAAUUUAGUAGCGAAGUAGCUGAUUUCACACUGUCAAGAAAAGUCUCUAUCGAGGUUAAAGGUACCCGUACCGCAAACCGACACAGGUGGGUGAGGAGAGUAUCCUAAGGCCAGCGAGAGAACUGUUGUUAAGGAACUCGGCAAAAUGACCCCGUAACUUAGGGAUAAGGGGUGCCACCAUCAGGUGGCCGCAGAGAAUAGGCCCAAGCGACUGUUUACCAAAAACAUAGGUUUCUGCUAAGUCGCAAGACGAUGUAUAGGAGCUGACGCCUGCCCGGUGCUGGAAGGUUAAGGGGAUCUGUUAGAGCAAUCGAAGCAGUGAACUUAAGCCCCAGUAAACGGCGGCCGUAACUAUAACGGUCCUAAGGUAGCGAAAUUCCUUGUCGGGUAAGUUCCGACCCGCACGAAAGGCGUAACGAUUUGGGCACUGUCUCAACAACAGACUCGGUGAAAUUGUAAUUCCGGUGAAGAUGCCGGAUACCUGCGACAGGACGGAAAGACCCCAUGGAGCUUUACUGUAGCUUGACAUUGGGUCUUGGUACUACAUGUACAGGAUAGGUGGGAGGCUUUGAAACCAGGACGCCAGUUUUGGCGGAGCCAUCCUUGGGAUACCACCCUUGUAGUACUGGGACUCUAACCAUAGGCCAUGAAUCUGGUCUUGGGACACUGUCAGGUGGGCAGUUUGACUGGGGCGGUCGCCUCCCAAAAGGUAACGGAGGCGCUCAAAGGUUCUCUCAGUACGGUCGGAAAUCGUACGUAGAGUGUAAAGGCAAAAGAGAGCUUGAUUGCAAGACAUACAGGUCGAGCAAGGAUGAAAAUCGGACUUAGUGAUCCGGUGGUUCUGCGUGGAAGGGCCAUCGCUCAACGGAUAAAAGCUACCCUGGGGAUAACAGGCUUAUCUCCCCCAAGAGUCCACAUCGACGGGGAGGUUUGGCACCUCGAUGUCGGCUCAUCACAUCCUGGGGCUGUAGUAGGUCCCAAGGGUUGGGCUGUUCGCCCAUUAAAGUGGUACGCGAGCUGGGUUCAGAACGUCGUGAGACAGUUCGGUCCCUAUCCGUCGCAGGCGUAGGAAAUUUGAGAAGACCUGUCCUUAGUACGAGAGGACCGGGAUGGACGUACCUCUGGUGUACCAGUUGUUCUGCCAAGGGCAUGGCUGGGUAGCUAUGUACGGAAUGGAUAAGCGCUGAAAGCAUCUAAGCGCGAAGCCAACUUCAAGAUAAGAUUUCCCACCGCAAGGGUAAGACCCCAGAAAGACUAUCUGGUUGA